GCCGGGUGCAAUGGUGUGUGCCUGUAGUCCCAGCUACUCGGGAGGCUGAGGUGGGAGGAAUGCUUGAGCCCAGGAAUUCUGGGCUGUAGUGCUUGAUAUGCCAGUCGGGUGUCUGCACUAAGUUUGGCAUCAGUAUGGUGAUCUCCUGGGAGCGGGGGACCACCAGGUUGCCUAAGGAGGGGUGAACUGGCUCAGGUCAGAAACGGAGCAGAUCAAAACUCCUGUGCUGAUCAGUAGUGGGAUCGUGCCUGUGAAUAGCCACUGCACUCCAGCCUGGGCAACAUAACGAGACCCCAUCUCUU
Callithrix jacchus (white-tufted-ear marmoset) is the source of this 302-nucleotide unclassified non-coding RNA. It matches the Rfam family "Metazoan signal recognition particle RNA". From Rfam's summary of the family: The signal recognition particle (SRP) is a universally conserved ribonucleoprotein. NCBI's taxonomy places the organism in Eukaryota, Metazoa, Chordata, Mammalia, Primates, Cebidae. The record is from Ensembl.